This 253-nucleotide ribosomal RNA is filed under the name uncultured bacterium. RNAcentral describes it as "partial 16S ribosomal RNA". It matches the Rfam family "Bacterial small subunit ribosomal RNA", at positions 524 to 776 of the family's 1533-position model. The record is from RNAcentral.
UACGUAGGGGGCAAGCGUUGUCCGGAAUUAUUGGGCGUAAAGAGCGCGUAGGCGGUCCGAUAAGUCGGCUGUGAAAGUCAUGGGCUCAACCCAUGAAAGCCGGCCGAUACUGUCGGACUAGAGUCCGGAAGAGGCGAGUGGAAUUCCCGGUGUAGCGGUGAAAUGCGCAGAUAUCGGGAGGAACACCAGUGGCGAAGGCGGCACUCUGGGCCGGUACUGACGCUGAGGAGCGAAAGCGUGGGGAGCGAACAGG